ACUGUUUUUUAAAAAAAUAAUCCUCAUAUUCGGGCCCGCGUUACCUUUCAUAAGGUAUCAAAUAACUUUAUCCAUCAAGAAAUAAACAAAAAAAUUGCCUAGUAUUUUUACCUCUGAUGAGUUACAAGAUGAGACGGUUUUUGGCCGACCUGUAGUGUAACUAUAUGUUUGUUUUGGUGCAAAUACACAAGGAAUGUCUGUAGAUUUAGUUAAAGUGAUGUUCUUAUGGAAAAUCUUUCUUUUGCUUUCUUUCUGUGGUUUUUUACUGUAAUUUCCGUAUUCACUAGUCAUCCUGCAGAAAGUUUAUGCCAACUUAUUAGGAAUUACAUUGAGGUUUUUGGCUCCUGUCGAUUAUUAAAAUACUACUCCUAAGUGUUUUGUGACAGCAGAAGAGUGUGGUGGGACAGUAAAGGUUCUUUCAUCUUUAACCAGAAGUCUCGAGUUAGAGUCUUGAGAAUGGGGUUCUCUUUAGUACAGAGCGGUAUAAUGGAUUAGUCAAGCCAUUGGAUUUUAGAUGCUUGAAGGUUUACAUGCAAUGAAAUUUUCCAUUUACAUCAACCGGUUUCUCUUUAACUGUGGCUGCAAGCAUUUUAUUUUCCUUUUCUCCAUAUAAAGUAAAUGUAGUUUUUAGUUUCCUAAUGAACUACUUUAUGUAAUUCAUUUUCCUUUUUCUUCUGGUUAAUUGGGAGUUAAAGCAAUCAGUUUUCAAGAUCAAACCCAAGACAUAAUGAUCCUUUUCCGUGUUUUAUGUCUUUAGACUAUAUGGUGGUUGUGGGGCUUGUGUUGUUCUGGUAUCGAAGUAUGAUCCAAAGCUUAAAAAGGUUGAAGAUUUUAGCGUAAGUUCAUGCCUUACACUUCUUUGCAGUUUAAAUGGUUUUUCAAUUACUACAAGUGAAGGUCUUGGGAACACCAGAGAUGGUUUCCACUCUAUUCAUGAAAGGAUUGCCGGUUUCCAUGCUUCUCAAUGCGGCUUUUGCACUCCCGGCAUGUGUAUGUCAUUUUUCUCCGCUCUUGUCAACGCCGAUAAAUGAAACAAGCCAGAUCCUCCACCGGGAUUCUCUAAGCUUACUUCGUCCGAAGCUGAAAAGGCAAUAGAAGGAAACUUUUGUCGGUGCACUGGAUACCGGCCCAUUGCUGAUGCCUGCAAGACUUUUGCUGCUGAUAUUGAUAUAGAGGAUUUAGGAUUCAAUGCUUUUUGGAAAAACGGAGAUUCCAAGGAAAUGAAAGUAAGUAAAUUACCUCCCUAUGAUCCAACUAAGAACUUCAAUACAUAUCCCGAGUUCUUGAAAAGUGAAUCCACCAAGAAUUUAGACUCUUUAAGGUACUCUUGGUAUACUUCUGUUUCCAUUGAGGAUCUACAGAGCUUGUUGAACUCCAACGUGACAGAAAAUGGUGCAAGCUUUAAACUAGUCGUUGGUAAUACUGGAACAGGUUAUUAUAAAGAAACUCAGCGAUAUGAUCAUUACAUUGAUCUAAGGUACAUUCCCGAACUCUCGAUCAUCAAAAGAGAUCAGGCAGGCAUCGACAUUGGAUCAACUGUGACAAUCUAUAAACUCAUUUCAUUCCUGAAAGAGGAAAGUAAAAUCAAUUUCGGUUCAUAUGGGAAGUUGGUGUCCGAUAAACUGGCUUACCACAUGGAGAAGAUUGCUUCACCAUUUGUUAGAAAUUCUGCUAGUGUGGGAGGAAAUUUGGUUAUGGCACAGAAGAAUGGUUUUCCUUCAGAUAUAGCUACAUUAUUUCUUGGGCUUUGUGCUACUGUUAGCUUGAUGACUCGUCAUGGACUUGUAAAGCUCACAUGGGAGGAGUUAUUGUCGAAACCACCACUGAACUCGAGAAUUGUGCUUCUAAGUGUUUCCAUCCCAUUUAAGAAAGAUCAAAAUUCUAAAUUUUUAUUUGAAACUUAUCGAGCUGCUCCACGACCUCAUGGAAAUGCAUUGGCAUAUGUUAAUGCUGCUUUCCAGGCUGAUGUUUCUCUCUGCCAGAACGGCUUCUUGAUAAACUAUAUCCGGUUGGCAUUUGGUGCUUAUGGCACAAAACACGCAACAAGGGCUAAAAUGAUAGAGAGAUAUCUAACCGGGAAAAUGUUAAACAUACAAGUUUUAUAUGGAGCUCUUAAAUUAGUCAAACUAGCAGUUGUACCGGAAGAUGGUUUACACCCUGAGUACAGAUCAAGCUUAGCUGUCAGUUAUGUUUUUGAGUUCCUUUAUCCCUUCACUGAUGCUCAUUCUGCCCUUUCUGGUGGUUUAUUCAAUGGAAUUAAUGAUACCUCAGUCGAAAAGGUUUUGAAAAGUAGUAAAGAUGGUUGCGUUAGUCAGGGGAGAAAACAAACACUACUCUCUUCUGCUAAGCAGGUUGUGGAAUCAAGUACCGAGUACUAUCCAGUAGGUGAACCGAUGAAGAAGGUCGGAGCUGCCAUGCAAGCUGCUGGUGAAGCUGUUUAUGUAGAUGACAUCCCUUCACCGCCAAACUGCCUGUAUGGAGCAUUUAUAUACAGUACGAAAGCAUUAGCAGGUGUAAAGGGAAUCCAGCUCGAUUCGAAUCAAUUAACAGAUGGAGUCGCCGCCAUUAUUAGUUUUAAAGAUAUCCCAAUCGGAGGGGCAAAUAUAGGAGCUAUUAGAUUUUCUGAUCCCGAGCCCUUAUUUGCAGAUGAUCUCGUCCGAUAUGCUGGCGACAGAAUUGCAAUUGUGGUUGCUGACAGUCAGAGGUCUGCUGACGUGGCUGCAAGAACAACCCUUGUUGAAUACGACACUGCAAAUGUAGAUUCGCCCAUUUUAAUCGUUGAGGAAGCUGUUGAGAAAUCUAGCUUUAUCCAAAUCCCGCCGUUUCUAUAUCCAAAACAGGUCGGUGAUUUCUCGAAAGGAAUGGCUGAAGCUGAUCACAAGAUUCUCUCAGCUGAGGUAAGACUUGGUUCUGAGUACUAUUUUUAUAUGGAGACACAGACUGCCAUUGCAAUUCCAGACGAAGACAACUGCAUGGUUGUUUAUACUUCAAGUCAGUGCCCUGAGAGCGCACAUCGUGUGAUUACCACUUGUCUUGGUGUUCCUACACACAAUAUCCGGGUAAUUACAAGAAGGGUCGGAGGUGGUUUUGGAGGCAAGGGAGUCAGAGCAAUGCCUGUCUCCACAGCCUGUGCACUUGCAGCAUACAAGUUAAGGCGACCUGUCAGGAUAUAUGUCAACCGGAACACUGACAUGAUAAUGACAGGAGGAAGACACCCAAUGAAAGUAACAUAUAGUGUAGGAUUCAAGUCGAGCGGAAAGAUCACAACAUUACAUCUUGAUCUAUUGAUAAAUGCUGGAAUCUCGGAAGAUGUAAGCCCUAUCCUACCAUUCAAGUGUGAUAAAAGCACUAAAGAAAUAUGAUUGGGGUGCCCUAUCUUUUGAUGUAAAACUAUGCAAGACAAAUCUUACCAGCAAAUCGACUAUGCGUGGCCCUGGGGAGGUGCAAGGAUCUUACAUUGCUGAAGCUAUAAUCGAACAUGUAUCGAGUUCACUAUUGUUGGAGGUCGACUUGGUCAGAAAUAAAAAUGCCCAUACAUUUGAAAGCCUCAAUUUUUUCUAUGGUAACAUUGUAUCAGUAGGAGAAUAUACACUGCCUAGUAUCAUGGAUAAGUUGGCUGUUUCCUCGAGCUUUUUCGAACGAAGAGAGAUGAUCAAACAGUUUAACCAGAAAAAUACAUGGAAAAAAAGGGGUAUUUCUCGAGUGCCAAUCGUGCAUGAAGUUACGCAACGAUCGACUCCGGGGAAAGUCAGUAUUCUGCAAGAUGGAUCGAUUGUUGUAGAGGUUGGAGGGAUUGAAAUUGGCCAAGGGCUAUGGACAAAGGUGAAACAGAUGACUGCCUAUGCUCUUGGUUUAAUUGAAAGUAGUUGGGCCGAAGACCUUGUGGAGAAAGUAAGAGUCAUACAAGCAGACACCUUAAGCAUAGUGCAAGGUGGGUUGACGGCAGGGAGCACUACAUCCGAAUCAAGCUGUGAAGCUGUUAGACUUUGCUGUAAUGUCUUGGUUGAAAGACUGACUCCUUUGAAGAAUCAGUUGCAGGAACAAAAUGUCUCUGUUGACUGGCCAACACUGAUUCGACAGGCACAAAUGCAAUCAGUACACUUAGCAGCACAUUCUUAUUAUGUACCAGAAUCUAGUUCCAAGAAUUAUUUGAACUUCGGCGCUGCUGUCAGUGAGGUGGAGAUUGAUAUUCUGACUGGAGAGACUACUAUUUUGCAAUCGGAUAUUAUUUAUGACUGCGGGCAGAGCUUGAAUCCAGCCAUUGAUUUGGGACAGAUUGAAGGGGCAUUCGUUCAAGGAAUUGGAUUUUUCAUGCAUGAAGAAUAUCUUACAAACGAAGACGGGUUAAUGGUCUCAAACAGCACUUGGACGUACGAGAUCCCGACUAUUGACACCAUACCUCAGAAUUUCAAUGUUCAUGUGGUAAACAGUGGACAUCACAAAAAGCGUGUUCUCUCGUCCAAAGCAUCUGGUGAACCACCGUUGCUGCUGGCAGUUAGUGUCCAUUGUGCAACACGAGCAGCGGUUAAAGCAGCACGUGAACAGCUCAAACAAUGGGACAAGCUUGACGGGUCUGUUUCAGAAUUCUAUCUGGACGUCCCUGCCAUAUUACCUGUUGUGAAGACACAGUGUGGCCUGGAUUAUGUGGAGAAAUACUUGGAAACUUUGGUGGCUCAGAAAUCUAACUAUACUUGCAUCAACAUGGAUCUCAAAUGAUACUGAACUGAAAGAGUUGGUUUUUGUGGA
RNA transcript from Solanum pennellii, 4746 nucleotides. It is a transcript of the gene named abscisic-aldehyde oxidase-like, with no coding region annotated. The record is from RefSeq and is a predicted model, not a curated record. The transcript has 10 exons. NCBI's taxonomy places the organism in Eukaryota, Viridiplantae, Streptophyta, Magnoliopsida, Solanales, Solanaceae.